RNAcentral lists this non-coding RNA (31 nucleotides) under Mus musculus (house mouse). The record is from RNAcentral. Lineage: Eukaryota; Metazoa; Chordata; Mammalia; Rodentia; Muridae.
UACCAGAUAUAAACACACCAAAGAUGCUGGA